GAUUCAUUUAUUUACAAUUUAAUUUGACACUCAGAAUUACACAAGGAAUUUAUGAGGAACAGAAAUAAAAAAAAAAAAAAAACAAAAAAACAAAAAAACAACUAAAAUGACAAACCAGUAUGUAUAACGACCAAAACCAAAUAAAUCCUGCAGUGACCUCUUGUUGUGAAUCUCGACAGGACUGGGUUUGAUAAUGGGCACCAAUUUGCACUUUAGUGCAAAAAGACUGAAUUACGGUCGCAUUGCAGUAAAAAUGUUAUAUUGCAUAUUGUCUUCAAUUUUACAGCUGUGCUCAAUUUGAUAUUUUAUGAAGCUAUUUUAAUCAGUUAAUAAAGCUGAAAAUGCAUUAAGUUCUUAAAGUGCUUUAUAAAAACAACAUACAAAACAACAAUGCACAUGGACUAAAAUUAAGAUCUGAAAAUAAACAUGAUGAAACCACGAAAUAGUGCAAAUAGACUACAGUGCAAAUGAAAUAUGAUGAAACAGACUAUGGAGCAAAUGCAUUUACAGUUGAAUAAGAGUGACACUAGCUGAGAAAUAUAAAUGCUUAUCUGUAAUAGACAGCAUAAUGUGUAUAACUAUAAAUUCACACAGAUAUUCCCAAUAACUGAUUUGGUGCAAUUCUGUGUGAAUGCAAUUACCUGAGCUAAACUACUGAGAUAUAUAAAAAAAUAAACAUAUAUACACUUUUGCUGGGCAAAGAUUAAUCGCAAUUAAUUGCAUCCAAAUGUAACGGUUAAUCCACUGAACAGCAAGUUGUGAUGAACCCAAGUGCAGCUUUAUUAACCAACAUAAACAAAUACAAAAACAAACAACUGACUUGACUAUGGCUUGACUUGGCAUGAACAGACUCACUGUCAGCAAGGGUUACAACAUCAAUACUUGACCAACGACAUGGGCAGCAUGAGGGCUAUUUAUGUCAAACCAUGCAGGUCACAUGACAAGAAACAACCAAUGAGAGACAAGACACAUGACCCAAAGAACCAAUCAGAACAUAACACACCCACAAGGGAAUCACAUGAUAAAACAAGACUGUGGCCAAACUACAAAAUAAAAGAUAUAAGAGCAAUGAACAUGAAUCACUAACAAAACCCAAACCCCACAUUACACCAAAAUAAAGGUUUUUGUUUACAUAAAAUAUGUGUGUGUGUGUGUGCGCUGUAUAUAUUUAUUAUAUAUAAAUACACACACACACAUACAGUUUAUAUUUUGGAAAUAUUCAAUUUAAUUAUAUUCAUUUAAUUUAUAUUAUAUAUAAAUAUAUUUAAUAUAAAAACAUAACAUAUUUUUCUUAAAUAUAUACAUGCAUCACACACACAUAUAUUAGGUAAACUAAAAACUUUAUUUUGGAUGUGAUUAAUUGCGAUUAAUCGUUGCCCAGCACUGAAUACACUAUGUUUGAUUCUUAUUUAUGUGUGAUACCUUGGAAUUUCUGUGAUUUAAAUCCUUCUGUGUUAUUUCACAAAACUUUUUUUUUUUUUUUGGUCUUCUUUGUCGUGUUAUAUACAGAAUUAUGUAUCUUAAUUCUCAAUGUGUCUGAAUCUGUGUGUGGUAACUGUAAUCUUGUACUACUUUUUUUUGUGUAAACUGUAUAUUUAUAUGCUUAUGUGCUUAUAUGUGACCCUGGACCACAAAACCAGUCUUAAGUGUCAAUUUUUCAAAAUUGAGAUUUAUACAUCAUCUGAAAUCUGAUUAAAUAAGCUUUCCAUUGAUGUAUGGUUUGUUAGGAUAGGGCAAUAUUUGGCCGAUAUACAACUAUUUGAAUAUCUGGAAUCUAAGGAUGCCAAAAAAUCAAAAUAUUGAGAAAAUCGCCUUUAAAGUUGUCCAAAUGAAUUGUUAACAAUGCACAUUACUAAUCAAAAAUAAGUUUUGAUAUAUUUAUGGUAGGAAAUUUACAAAAUAUCUUCAUGGAACAUGAUUUUUACUUAAUAUCCUAAUGAUUUUUGGCAUAAAAUGUUUUUUUGGCUAUUGCUAAAAAUAUACCCCAGCGACUAAAGACUGGUUUUGUGGUCCAGGGUCACAUAUGCUUUCAUAUUAUAAGAUUAUUAUAUUUUUUUAUUUUAAUCACUUUAAAGUUGAAGUGUGUUAGGCUAUUUCUUCACCAGUAACUUGUGGAAAUACUUCAGUGUGAAAUUAGUUAGGUAUUUGGUUUUGUCUUUCAGGAAUUGAUGUGAUGGUAUAAAGUGGCGUUUCUGAUUGAAAUAGAGUCGGAUCUGAAUGAGAGUUGCAGUGGUUUAUCUGCGAUCUGAAUCUCCUUUGAGGAGUAUUUUGACGUAGUUGCAGGUUAAAAGGUCAAAAUCAUUGGUGUGGUUUUUGAGGCGUCAGUUUUGGAGGUACUCUUGCAUUACAAAUAAUGUGUGUGUACAUUUUUUGGGCGGAGUACCAAGUAUCCCUAUACAUUACAUUUAAUACAUGAACCUGCAUUAGAUUAACUGUUUUAACUAUUGGCAAGGUUUUUUAGAAAGACUGCAUUGCCUUCAAUGACUAAACAGCCAUUUGAUUAUUAUGGUGCUUAUUGUUUCCCAGAUUUCCUUAUUCUUUCUCUUUGUCAGUCUGUUUCUUCACUUCUUCGUAUGGACUGUCCUCCACUGUCACGGCCUCAUAAUCUUUGUCUUUCUGAGGAAGCUGCUCAUACCCUCCCUCUGCUUCUCCUGCUGGCUUUUUUGAGUCGUCUGAACUCAGUGUCUGGUACACAUCGGCUUUGACGCUCUUAAGAGCCUCGUACCCACCUUUACCUUCACUCUGACCCUCUCCAGGUCCUUCAGGUCCUACUGUGUGGUACACCCCCUCCUCCUCCCUCUUUUGUAGGGGUUCGUAACCCCCCUCGGCCCGGUCCUUGCUCGUGCUCUCGCCCAGGGUGUGGUAAACCGCCUUAUCCUUGUCCUUGAGUUGGAUUUGCUCAUAGUCUCCACCUGUCUUCUUGUCUUUAUCCCGUUCGGUCUCCUGGAUGGCGCUUCCUCCACGUCUGCGUUUUAGCGCGAUCAGCAAGACGAUCAACAGCCCGAGAAAGAUCAGAAUCGCUGCCAACAAGAUGGGCAUCAAGUGUGCAGUAUCUGAGAAAGAAAGAGGAUGCAAAUUCAUUCUAAAAACUAAAAUGAGAAGUAGUGUGCUUGCACAGUCAUCAAGUAAGAAUUGAAAAUGACUAGUGCAUUUAUACUUUGCUACACUCUACAUGAAUAUGCACGGAAAAUAAAAGAGACCGCAAAGCUUUGCGUGCUUGUGUUUUGGCCUGAAACUUUUGGGUGUCACAGGCAUUUUGAAAAUCGUUUCUGCUGUUAAUUACCACAGAAAAUAGUCUACACUCAUCCCUCAUCUUGCAAGAACAAAUAAAAAUCGUGUUUAUGGCAGGGUUAUUACUGUUAUAUUCAAAUUAAAACCAUAAAAACAUAUUUUGUUACUUGAAAUAAAACUAAAACUUAUUUUAAAUAUUUGCCAAAUUAAUAAUUUAAAAUAAUUUCAUUCAUUCAUUUACAUUUAUAAAUAACGAAUAUAAAUGACAAACAACAACAUAACGAAAACCUUAACUAAAAUGAAAUAAUAAUAAUAGUAAUAAUAAUUAAUAAAAACAGUAAUAAAAUGAAAGUCUAAAGAGCAUGUUUGUGUGUGUGUAUGAGUACCUUUGUAGAUGUAGACGUUGCUGAAACGUGAGAAACCUUUCCCACACUCCUUCCUGCAUUUGUACUGUCCUACGUCUUUUACAGUGAUUAACCCAUUACUUUCAGAUAGUUUUUUGCGCGUGAAUGGGUCAUUUAAGGGUGUGUGAUACCAGUGGUAGGAUGUGCAGUUGGCAGGACAGUCAGGGCAGGAACACUGCAGACCGUUACUAGACUCUGAAAUCACAGCAGCAGGAGGUCCACCUGUACAACACAGAAAUAAAGACUGUGGAGCACUGAUGAUUUCAGACAAAUAUGGUAUUCAUAUACAGUGGUAUUUACACAGUGCCUUUGUUUCAUACUGGAUUGUAACUGGUCCAAAUUAGGCAGAAAAAACCCAAUUAACAAUUUCCCCCUUUAUUAAAGCAAGAAACCAAGAAAGGCAGUAAAUUUGUGAUUUUUAUGCACAAUGCAAAUUUAAUGAGAAUUUCAGAUAUUUAUAUUUAUUACACAAUGAUAAUCAGGUGUUUUUGUGAAUUUGUAUCCGUAAGUACACAUAAUAUGAGUGUUAAUUGUGUUAAUUCAGUGGUUGUUUUGAAGCUUAACGGGUGGCACACAUGGGUUAAAUAACUAGUGGACGCACAUCCUGAUUAGACCUGAUUCUAUCAAAUGCGUUAAUGUAACCGUUCUGACAGAAUCAGUGAGUGAUUUGUUAGACCAAUUCAAACUGAAGAGUGAUUCUGACUUGUAAGCUUGUCAGUCAUUAAUUCUG
Long non-coding RNA from Cyprinus carpio carpio, 4365 nucleotides. The record is from Ensembl. NCBI's taxonomy places the organism in Eukaryota, Metazoa, Chordata, Actinopteri, Cypriniformes, Cyprinidae.